RNAcentral lists this long non-coding RNA (900 nucleotides) under Mytilus galloprovincialis (Mediterranean mussel). Lineage: Eukaryota; Metazoa; Mollusca; Bivalvia; Mytilida; Mytilidae. The record is from RNAcentral.
AAAAAAUCAAAAAUAAUCAACCGUGCAUGAUAUAUGUGUCAAAAAAGUUAACAAUCCAACUGGAUAGGAAAAACGGAAUAUCUUAGAUAAAACUAAUACUCUCAAUUUGUGUUGGACACCUGGCUAGGGCAGAAGGGGUCUUGGCAUGCUGCUUUGAAAUUAUAAAAAUGUACAAAUAACAUAGAAUUGAGUCUCGUGAUGUCUUCCUCUAAACAUAGAACAAACGACGGAAGAACAUUUUCGUUCAUCAUCGUUUCUAAAGACAGUGAUUAUAGGGUUAAAAAAUACAUUCACAUAAAGUUCAGCUGCACUAACAUAUUUUUGAAUGAAUGAAUUUUAUUUGCAAAAGCAUAUAGAACAUGCUAUGGCAAUACAUAAUAUAUACAUAAUGUGACAAAAGACUGGUAGAUUGUAAAUAUUGUAAAUCGCAGGCUAAUGUUUCAUUAUCAUUUUUUUUUAUUAUUAAAUAUAAAACCCGAUUUCAGGGGGGAAAGUUGGUUUUGGGAAAGAAAUGCAAAGAGUUGGAAGUGUUUUGAGAAUAUACUAGUAAUGUAAUAACAUGUUCCUUUAUUAAAUGUUAAUAAACGGGUUUGUAACUGGCAUAAGAAACAACGUGGCUUCAGCUAUAAUUCUUUUUUUCUUUAUGUAUAUGCCAAUCCUAGAGGCAUUAUGUUUUUGUUCUGUGUGUCCGUUCGUCUGGUCGUCUGUCCCGCUUCAGGUUAAAGUUUUUGUCAAUUAAGGUAGUUUUAAUGAAGUUGAAGUGAAAUCAACCUGAAACUGCACAUAUGUUCCUUUUGAUAUGAUAUUUUUUAAUCAUCAUUCCGAAUUAGAGUUUUGAUCCCAAUUUUACGGUCCACUGAAUAUAGAAAAUGAUAGUGGCCGCUUCGGGUUAAGUAUUUG